UACGAAGGGGGCUAGCGUUGCUCGGAAUCACUGGGCGUAAAGCGCACGUAGGCGGCUUUUUAAGUCAGGGGUGAAAUCCUGGAGCUCAACUCCAGAACUGCCUUUGAUACUGAGAAGCUUGAGUCCUGGAGAGGUGAGUGGAACUGCGAGUGUAGAGGUGAAAUUCGUAGAUAUUCGCAAGAACACCAGUGGCGAAGGCGGCUCACUGGCCCGGUACUGACGCUGAGGUGCGAAAGCGUGGGGAGCAAACAGG
Molecule: ribosomal RNA, 253 nt
Filed under: uncultured bacterium
Lineage: Bacteria
Description: partial 16S ribosomal RNA
Rfam family: Bacterial small subunit ribosomal RNA
Source: RNAcentral